Aegilops tauschii subsp. strangulata is the source of this 2520-nucleotide long non-coding RNA. RefSeq lists it as uncharacterized. The record is from RefSeq and is a predicted model, not a curated record. Lineage: Eukaryota; Viridiplantae; Streptophyta; Magnoliopsida; Poales; Poaceae.
ACCGCCACUACAACAAACACCCCCUAUACCAACACAUAUGUACCAACCAUAUGACAACAUGUGUUGUUUGUUCAACCUCCCACACAUCCCGCACUUAAGUAACCUCCCGGUACCCACCUCCCCCUAUUCCUCGUCCGUCAAAAUAUCACGCGCCAAGUGAAACGAUGGGAGCGAAACUUUUCUAUCCACCGUCUCCCUCUCGCCUGAUUUCUCCAUCUUGCCUGAUUUCUCUCUCUCGCCCAAACUUCCAUCACCACGACUCUGCCGCCGCCACCUCCAAAUUCUUUUUGACGACCAUCUGCUAUCGCCACCACCAACCAGCCCCACCGCAACCGCCAGCCUCCACGAUGGCUGCAGGCCUGUAGCAGGCCGCCAUGCCUGCGCCGAGCAGCCGCCGCCGCCGAACUCCCGCAGUCAGAUCUAGGCCCAAGCCCACACGAGACCAGCAGAUCCCCACACCACCGGCCACUGCCUCCUCCUCUCCGAUGCAAGCCGGCACCACCGCCGGCGCCGCGGAGGAGACACCUUGACGCCACAGAUGCUGCCGUGAACCCCGCCGCAUGGAUUACCACCGGUGGCCACGAGCUCCCCCAAGUCGCGAGCGCACCACUUGACUCUGGGAGAAACGGAUCCCGUAGCCGCUGGUGACGGAGAGAGGGAGGAGGAGGUGGAGCCAGCAACAUCGCACCGUCGGUAACAACACACAUCUUGAGGGACUUGCUCGGUUCCUCUGAAUCCUUAUAUUCUACCGUAAUCUAUGAUAGAUGUUCCAACAUAGCUACUACUGUAUGCACCUUUAACUGUUUAUUAUUUAAGAUCACGUUGUGGAAAAAAUUAUUUGCAACUUCAAACUACUAGUAUCACAGGUUUUGGCUGUAACACAUGUUCACCUUCAACGCUAACCAGCAAAAACGAUAAUGUACAGGUACCCUAUUGGUUGAUUUGCACGCAUAGAUGAAUCGUGCUGCACACCAAGGCUUCUAACCAUACCUUCAUGUUAUAUAUACAAAUGAUUUAUUCUUAACCCUAGUCGCAACGGUGGCCGGCGCGGUUCUCUCGCCUACGGUCUGUAGGCCCACUAAAUCACGUGUGUGUGCUACUGCCCGCUCGGGCAUGACAGUGUUGCGCCACCCCGGCCCUGCUAUAUUGUUUCGACGGUUAAUCUGGACUGUAGGUUGGAUCUGAAACAAAUUACCUUAUAAGCUCGUAAUGCAAGUAUGAUUCAGCUGCUAAUGCUUUUCCCCUUCCGUUAUCAAGAUAAAACAUGCAUUGAACCUAUGAUGAACUCUAUUGACAUCAUCAUCUUUGUUCUGGAGGAUAUGGAGGAGCUCCAGGCUGCCUCGACAUUGGCUUCAGGUUGUCAUACCAUGAAAUCUCCGAGCUCUGCAAGUCACUUACGUGCUGGAGUUGUACUACUCCAUGACAUGGAGGACAAAUGAUACAUGAUCAGAGGGCCAAGUGGCGACAAGGAUCAAAUUUCUUGAUUAUAGCAUAUGCCACAUUGGACUGGGUGCUGAGAAUCUUGAUUCAUGGAUUGGGAAAUACUAAAGUGUAACAUUUAGUUAUCAAGUAAGUACGAAGUUUUGCAUGAGGUGGAUUAUUUAAUGAUUUUUGAGCUGUUGGCAUUGAGUUUGUUUCUCCUAAAUCCUAAUACACCAUACCAAGCAUGAUUAAUACACACGUAUUGGUGAUGCAAAACUAAUUAAUGCAUAGACCGUUGGAAAAUAGAAUUAUUCAACCCUGUGUAGUUGAUAUUACUGGUUACCUAUUUAUCUAAUAGUUGGUUGCUGAAUUCAUCUCAUUGUUGAUACAGUAUGAUCUUUGGAUAAUUGUUAGUAGGACAUGCAUGUUGAUGGUUGUUCACAGUGUACAUGUACAUCAGAUUGCUCAGCGAUGCUUGGUGUUUUAUUAUGUACCAAGUUAUUUGUCAGACAUACAUAAGCUUGUAUGUUUCUCCCACGAUCUUUUCUUGCACACUGGUUAUUUUUAUAUGGGUCCUUUAGGUACAACGCAUAGCAUGUAUAUUUUUAAACUUCAAAUUUCAAAUAUAUGCCAGAAUAGUAUUAUGUUUUUUCAUUGUAGGUUGAGAAGUUCAAUAAUACAGUACAUGGUUACUUGGAUACUUGGAGAAUAUGGAUCUGUUUGGUUCAGAGCCGAGAGCCGCCGUGCCAAAUUGUUGGCAAAGUGCGUUGGCCAGCAUUUGGAUGGACGCCAACUUUGGUCCUGCUUCAGUUUGCUGCUCCAACUCUUGGUGAGAUGACGGCGGCGAAUUUGUCCGCCAAAUAUUUGGCGAGCCUAGCUUUGGUAGGGCUAGCAUGGGCGCAAGCCAGAAGCCCCUAUAUGUUGAUGCUUGGUACUUGGAGGAGAGUCGAAAACAAUUCUUUCAAUUUUUAGAAACUUUAUAUUAUGUAAAGUGUAUUUUCUAAGAAAGUGAUGUACUCCUAACUGAUGAUACUUGCAUUGCAAUGUAACAGAUUGUGCAAUUGAAUCAAUAUAUUAGUUCAUUUCCACUCUCUCAAA